Engraulis encrasicolus (European anchovy) is the source of this 1670-nucleotide long non-coding RNA. RefSeq lists it as uncharacterized. The transcript has 3 exons. Lineage: Eukaryota; Metazoa; Chordata; Actinopteri; Clupeiformes; Engraulidae. The record is from RefSeq and is a predicted model, not a curated record.
UGACUCUCGCGCAGAUGGAUUGUCAUCCAUCUGGAAUUUUGGUGGUAACCUUGCUGUUCUAGCUCGAACGUGAUUGGAGAAAUUAGGUAACAGUGACGUACUACUUCAACCAAUCACAUCGAAACGGGCCGUGACGUAGUUGUCUGCGACGCGCGAUAGAAGCCACAACAGAGCAGUUAGCAUGUUGACAGUAGUUCCAGUCCAGCUAGCAUGUGUAUAGUGGAUCAUUGGUGGCAUUUGAACGGCAAGCCGCCUGUGGUAUGCCACCUGUGUCCGACAUCGGACCACUGACGGUUACAAAACACACAAGGCAUCGGUGGAUUUUGGUUGGCAAUCCGACAUAGUGCACGAGUACUCUGCAGGGUCCAAACAGCGGCAUGCUACCUGACAAUCCACCUACGUGAGAGCCAGGUUACAUGCUACCAGCCCCUAGGACCAAGGAGGACCGGCUACUCAUUUGGUGCCAGCAUCGUUUGCAUCAGAUAAAUCACAACAAAGAUAUGGUGACCCAAGACCCACGGUUAUAUAAGGAGGUGUAUGAAGAAACGACAGCAUAGAGGACCCAUAGAGCACAUCCCCUCACAGAUUCCAUGCCUUUCAAAAUAUUAGAACAAGAUUUCAAGGCAUUUUCCUUAAAGAACUUGCAACAUUUCAGGAGCGCGUCACCAUUUGGGUUUUCAUUUUGUACAAUACAUCACCUAACACCAAGAACGCUACAUUUUGUAAGCUAUGUUUCUUGCAUUGCCAGUAACCAAUAUUUAAAAGAAAAAAAUGUGUAUAUAUAAAUUGAUAUCUUAUUUGUCAUUAUUUACACUUUCAUUACUGUACAUUGAAAAAAAUUAGACAGUGUUUUCUUUUCACAAUAAAAUUGUAUUUACAUAUGUUCCAAUUACUUGUGUACACCAUUAUUUACACCAUUUGUUCAAUAUUCGGUUCGAUAUUGUGACAAGAUUCCACUUCUUUGUUCCUAAUGGAUGAUGGUUAGAUUCUGAACUAAUGCUGUGUUACAUGUUCCAUUAUGUCUAUGAAUCUGUCAUUAGGGAGAGUCAGUCACAAAAAGCCUCGCUCACAACCAGUAGCAUGAAGUACCUUAAAACCAUAGGUUGUUUUGUAACUGAUGUCAAAUGUAAGGACUGUUGUUGACUGCUGCCUCAUUAGGCUUUGUCCCAAACCCAGAGCAGACAGUCUCGUUAAUGAAAGUGGCACAUCUGGUAUUUAAGUACACAUGUUCUGUACAGCUGUCAGCAGACCAUGAUAACAUUUCCAACUCUUCAGUAAUGUCUAGAUCUUGGUGGAGUAGUGUAGUGUAGAUUCUAUACACAUGUGGUUGUACAGGCGCAUUUUGAAACAGGCUCAACACAGAAGACCAAAGAAAUGGAAUUGUGGUAGGUGCAACACGUAUGACCUGGCUGGCUCCAAACUUGUGGUGCGCAUGCUCUGUGCCAGCCAUUACUGAACUCACUGUCUUGUAUACCUAGAGUGGUCAUUUGAUGGUUUACAACAGUACAAGUGAGGGAAGAGCCUAAUUCAAUUUCCACUGUACAUGUGUAGCAGCUGGAUGACCCGGUCUGUGAUGACAAUCCCAGCAGACGCUGCCAACUCCAUGACUUGCCUACCUGAAAACAACACACAAUGUUAAAAUAGAAUCGGCAAACAAGGCAACUGUAAUU